RNAcentral lists this long non-coding RNA (1863 nucleotides) under Pomacea canaliculata. Its description in RNAcentral is "uncharacterized LOC112560810". Lineage: Eukaryota; Metazoa; Mollusca; Gastropoda; Architaenioglossa; Ampullariidae. The record is from RNAcentral.
CAUGUAGACGACGUCAUUUUUCAAGAAAAAUCCAGGAGCAGUUGAACGUCUGCUUGAAGAAGAAACCGGUCGGUCGAAAACUCGAUCUCUGUGAACAACGAAAGAAUAACAUUCUGUUUCUCUCAUCUGAUGGACCAGUUGUGUUAUCGACGUUAUCGUGCAGCUUGUUAAUUAUACAAGCCGUGUACUUUCUCCAUUCUGACCGCUAGCAUCAGCUGUCUUCACUCUCCAUCUCUACGACUUUAGCUGAAGGUCAAACGUCUCCAUUGUAUAUUUCUGCUAAAACUGAAGAUCAACAGUCUACACUUUCUUUCACCUUCAUCUAAGGGGGCUCACCGAAGUGUUGUAGUCUGUAAUUCCAUUUUCGUCGUACAUAUGCGGAGGACUGCAAGAGAAAGAGUAAGACAGUAACAGAGUAUUUGGAAGUUGCCAGCUUCCUUCUACCCAGAAACAGCAAACAGUACACAUCGUCCAUGGAUUCUAGACUGUGUUUGUGUCUAGCUUAUUGAGAUUGCCGACAUCAUCUGACAAAGGGAAGGCAAUGUCCACCAAAAAAAAAAAAAAAAGUUGGUGUUGAUAAGAGCUCAAGUUCUCAGCUGCAUGGCCAUCAUCUUGCCAAUGCAGGAACUGCAGUUACUGUUCUCAAGUCCAUACAACAGGCCAUGGUGAUUUUGACACAAUCAGUAUAACAGAACCCAGCCCCUCUCUACAUCUCAGUGACAUGUCUGCAAGUUUUAUAUCAGGCUCUGCUGUCAGUGGCGCGUCUUCCAUUUCCAUCUGUCUCUUCGCUUUUGCAAGUGGCACUCACCCUCUUCCAUCAGGGCUUGCUGGAUCCUGACUAUCAGGUGGUCUCUGAAUUCCGAGAUGUGAAGGUCUCCAUCCAGCUGCUCCAACCAUCCAUGGCCUGGUUAUCAGCUGUGUCUGCACUCUUGAUAUUUCAAGCACCACCACCCAAUCAACGUCAAAGUUUUCAACUUCAGAGCCAGUUACCCAUGCUGGCAUGCAGACGAAAUAUUCAACCAGUGUUAGUCAUGCUGACACUUUCUUUUCUUCUGAAAAACUUGUGCCUGACAGUUUAAGCCCUCCAUCUGCUUCAAAGAACAUUGUUUCAUUGUCAAGCAGUCUGGAGCUGAAGGAUCCUGCUGUUGCGUUUUCUACAAACAAUGACAUACAAGAGCACUCUGGGCAUAAAAGAAAGGUAAGAUCAGAUAGUGAUGACGAUCAUAAGGCCUUGAUUUCAUCAACAGCGACAACAGGAGGGAGCAUGAUAGUGAUAAAAAUGAGCACAGAAAUUUAAUAUCCGAUGUGGCGAAUACAAACCUCGUUGUCAAAAAAGGGAGACCUCAUUCUUCAAAUAAUUACUGUUAAAAAUGGUUAAUGCUAAAAAGAAGGCUGAUAUAAGUGAUAUCAGUAACAAAGACAACACUAGAAAGUGUGAUACAAAAUCCAUGAAAUUUGUGGACAGAGGAUGUUAGUGCAGUUUCCACGAGAAGUGACAGUCUCCAGAAGCAAGUAACAGGCAACUUUAAGUUGACUUUAUUAACUCACCAUGAAUAUUGCUUAGACGAGUCAAACAUCAAGCUUGUUACUUUUCUCCUACAAUUUGUGCCUUCCAACUUUUCUCUCAGAUGGAUAUGAAACUGAAAGCACAGAAAAUUGUCAUGCAACCACUUGUCAAAACUUAGGCUAACCAUUUCCCCCUCCUUAAAAAUAUAUAAAUAACAUUUUAACAUAAUUAUCGCCUCUAUAUAUAUAUAUUUCUCUGUUCACUGGGCUCACAAGUACAAAAGUUAUAUUCCACACAACUUGGCCAAGAGAGAACAUCGACAGGAAAGUAGCCCUCUACUCACCCAGCGGCUCGUG